CUACUCUUGACAUCCAGAGAAUUCGCUAGAGAUAGCUUAGUGCCUUCGGGAACUCUGAGACAGGUGCUGCAUGGCUGUCGUCAGCUCGUGUUGUGAAAUGUUGGGUUAAGUCCCGCAACGAGCGCAACCCUUAUCCUUGUUUGCCAGCACGUAAUGGUGGGAACUCCAGGGAGACUGCCGGUGAUAAACCGGAGGAAGGUGGGGACGACGUCAAGUCAUCAUGGCCCUUACGAGUAGGGCUACACACGUGCUACAAUGGCGUAUACAGAGGGCUGCAAGCUAGCGAUAGUGAGCGAAUCCCACAAAGUACGUCUGUAGUCCGGAUUGGAGUCUGCAACUCGACUCCAUGAAGUCGGAAUCGCUAGUAAUCGUGAAUCAGAAUGUCACGGUGAAUACGUUCCC
RNAcentral lists this ribosomal RNA (402 nucleotides) under uncultured bacterium. RNAcentral's name for it is "bacterial SSU rRNA". It matches the Rfam family "Bacterial small subunit ribosomal RNA", at positions 975 to 1375 of the family's 1533-position model. The record is from RNAcentral.